GGCUUCAGUCAGGAGAUACCAUGUCCGCCGUCACAGGCACACUGUACUCACCUCUCCUCUCAGUUACAACUCAUUCUCCAUGAAACAACAGUAACACGGGGCCUCCAGGAUGGCCAACUCGGGUGCUGUUCAGGUGAAACUAGAACUCGGUCACCGUGCCCAGGUCAGGAAGAAACCCACCGUGGAAGGCUUCACCCACGACUGGAUGGUGUUUGUCCGCGGCCCGGAGCAGAGCAACAUCCAGCACUUUGUGGAGAAAGUGGUUUUUCACCUGCACGAAAGCUUCCCCAAACCAAAAAGAGUUAUCAAGGAUCCCCCGUUCAAAGUGGAGGAGUCUGGAUACGCAGGCUUCAUCUUACCUAUUGAAGUUUACUUCAGAAAUAAGGAAGAACCGAAGAAAGUUCGCUUUGAUUACGACCUUUUCCUCCAUCUGGACGGCCACCCACCUGUCAAUCAUCUCCGCUGUGAGAAGCUCACCUUCAAUAGCCCAACAGAGGAGUUUCGCAUGAAGCUGCUGAAAGCUGGAGGGCAGCGGGAUCCUAACAAACGAAGUUCAGAAGACUCAAAUGUGAUGGUGAUGCAGGAGGGCUCCACCUCUCUGUUCGGACAGCACAUGAAGCUGCCUUCACUCCCCAGCUCGCUGACAUCCACCUUCUUGGACCAAAAGAAGAGCAAAAGCUUUCACGGGUCAAAGGAUGGCUCCAAAGGAAGCAGCACCACCCUUCUCACCACCGCAACAACCACCAGCACCAACAACAUCAGCUUCUCCAAACUCCACAAACCCUCCAAGGACCACAAAGACAAGCCUCCAAAAGACUUGAAAGAGCCCAAAAGUGCCUUCAGAGACUCUGGCUGGGAAUCCAGCAAAGUCCCCAAAGAACCUUCCAGGAAACCCAAAGAGAACCAGCCACUUAGAGAUAUAAAUCCUAAGAUGGGCUUCAAGGAACCCAAGUCUUUGUCCAAGGAGCAUCGGCCUGAGGGGAUGACCCCUGGGUCGGGGCUAAACAAGCGUCUGUCCAGCUCCGACGCCGACGAUCUCGUGACCAAAAAGCGUAAAAAGGGAUUUGCGGAUCCUUCAGGGAAGCAGACGUUGGGGUCAGAUGCUCCACAUUUGGAUAAGAAAGUCUUGAAGGAUAGUUCGCAGAUGAGAACAAGUAAACUGCGACCAGAAGUUGAGGAGGCAGAGCGCAGGAAGGUGUCCACACUCCCCCCGUUCCAGGACCUGGGGGACCACAAUGACUCUGAUAUGGAGGACCAGUCCCACAAAUCAGAUUCUGAGCAGCCCAGUCCAGCCAGUUCCAGCUCCAGUUCAGGCUUUGCUCCCACUCACCACAAACGCCAAGUGGUGGACUUCAUCAUCAGGAAAAGGGUGGCUAUUCCUGCCGCCACCCACACAGUGCUGGGCCCACUGCAGUCCGUCAUGCAGGAUCUGCAUUCCGAGGACAACGACGAUGAUUCAGAGGAGGACGACGACAACGACAUGGACUCUGACAUGGAGCGACCGGCAAACACACACCACACACACCACCAACGCAGGGUCAGUCUGAGUGAUGGCAGUGAGAGUGACAGCUCCUCCCCCUCACCUCCAUCCCGUCAUGAAGCCCCGCCCUUACUAAAGACUACUAAUAACCAGAUACUGGAGGUGAAGAGUCCCACCAAGCAGAGCAAGCAGGACAAGAACAAAAACAUAGAUUGUGACAAGGCUGCAGUUGGACAAGUCUGGUGUGAAUGUGUGAGACGUGGUUGAGCGCUUACCUGGAUGAGCUGGUGGCGCUGCACAAAAGACUGAUGACACUGAGAGAGGGCCAUAUACUGCAACAGAUUGUGAACCUGAUUGAAGAGACGGGACACUUCCACAUCACAAACACUACUUUUGACUUCGACCUUUGCUCCCUGGACAGAAUUACAGUGAGGAAGCUCCAGAGUUACCUGGAGACCUCCGGCCUGUCCUGAGGCUCUGAGCAGCUGGCUGCUGGAUCUCUGUCUCGGAGGAGGAUUUCCAUUUUUCCCAUUUCUCUUGAAAAAACUCCAACUUUGGAUACAAUGCAAAAGCCCCACUGUGGCUGGGACCAGUCGCUGUGUCCAGUCGCUGUGUCCAGCCUGCUGUUGCACCGGCUCUCUGAAUGGAGGGUUGGGGGUCCCGCUGCAGAAAGCAGAGCCUGGUGUUGUGGGGAUGAGCCCUGUGGAUCAGGAGAUCACCCAGAAAGCCUUGAAACUUCUCUUGAUUUAAAAAAACGAAAAAGUGGGAAGCUGCGACCCUGUUGCUCUUAAUGAAUGUGCAAAUUGUUACAAUGUAUGUUCCUUGAUUUGUUGUUCAUUGGGACAAAUGCAUGGUCAACAUUGCCUUACAACAUUGUAAGUCUUAUUUAUUGGGGUGUGUGUGUGUGUGUGUGUGUGUGUGUGUGUGUGUGUGUGUGUGUGUGUGUGUGUGUGUGUGUGUGUGUGUGUGUGUGUGUGUGUGUGUGUGUGUGUGUGUGUGUUUUUUGAAGCACUUCACAACAGGCAUUACUGAGGACACUUGAUUGGUCGCUGACCUGAAUUGAAAUUGCAUGUCAUAUUGCAUCAUUACAAUGGGAAGAAAAAACUGCCAGAGCAGGUGUGAAGGUGAUGCUGAAAAUAACAUUUAUAUUUAAAUCCAUUACUACAUGUUUCAAUGUGUGCUUCAUAAACACAGGGGAGAAGGUCCUUUAGAAAAACCCUUAGUUGUCUCACUGGCCUCUAAGGGCUUGCAAAGAUGCCUUGACAAAUAAAAAGAAAUACACAUACAUUUAAAGGAAAAACAUUGUGUAAAGAUAUAAAUAGAAUCUCAAGACAUUGCCUAUAUCAGAAAAUGUGCCUGGCCCAGGAAUAUUGUCUCAUUGUCCACCUUUCUGAAGCAUACUGAAGUUUUCAGGGCACAGGAAGUACUUGUUGCUUUUACUUAUAGGCUUUCUGUGUAUAAUCUUCAUCUUAAAACAAACCGUUUUAAAGGGAAAUAAUCUACACAUCUUGGCUUUAAAAACCCAGCAAGACGUAUGGAUUUUUUUUUACGCAACUUCAAUCAAUCAAUAUAAUCGCCUCGGCAUGCUCUAAAUGACUUCUAGACAAUGUCCCGCUGUUUCAGAAAGCCACCAAAUAAUUUCAUACAUCACUUGGCAGUUUUUUAUUCCCAUAUUUUCUCCAGAUGUGAGCUGAGCACAAAUCUCUAAGGUGGAAGUUCUCAUGAUGGAAUCAAAAAUAUAUUUUUACCAAAUCCAGGAAUAAUAUGCUGCCGACCGGCUUGUUGCCUGCAAACGAAAGAAAGCUUUGUUGUGUUGGCUCAUAUUUUGCUACAGGGCUAAUGGAACAUGCCAAAAGCAUAGUGAGUAGAAGCAGUUGUUUAGGAUACUCGUGUUUGGCUACAGAGUGACUGAAAGAAUAUCAUUAUCUCUUUGCCGGGAAAAUAGACCAAACCCUGUCCGAGGAGAGGAACAACAAACUGCCUGUAUGGUGGAAAUGGAAAACAGCUCCUGUGUUCUGCAUUUCUGAAAUGUGUGAAAUAUUUUGGGUAGAUUUAACAAACGAGAAGGCCAAUGGGAGAUUUGGCUGACAGGUACUGUUACGGGUAUAAUAAAAAAAAAAGAAUCUUUUAUUUAUUUUGUGGAUGUUUUGAGUUGUUAAAUCAAAGCUCAACAUUAUUUUCCAAGGAGAAUGCCUUUGUUUGAUUUGUACCAAGGACCCGAGUGCCAGUGUGAUAAACUAAAGUUCAGGAUGGUGCCGACUUUUCCAAAUGACCUUAAAGGGUUUUCUCACCCUGUGUUCUGUCUGAUGGUUUCUUGUGUAUUUUGAGGAUAUACAAUAAAUAUUCUGUAUGAUGUACAGAUGAUUUAAUAAGUAA
This is an RNA transcript of Gymnodraco acuticeps, 3856 nucleotides long. It is a transcript of the gene named MLLT3 super elongation complex subunit, with no coding region annotated. Lineage: Eukaryota; Metazoa; Chordata; Actinopteri; Perciformes; Bathydraconidae. The record is from RefSeq and is a predicted model, not a curated record. The transcript has 15 exons.